GCGCCCGUAGCUCAGUGGAUUAGAGCAUCUGCCUCCGGCGCAGAAGGCCACAGGUUCGAAUCCUGUCGGGCGUA
Molecule: transfer RNA, 74 nt
Filed under: Candidatus Bipolaricaulota bacterium
Lineage: Bacteria; Candidatus Bipolaricaulota
Description: tRNA-Arg
Rfam family: tRNA
About the family: Transfer RNA (tRNA) molecules are approximately 80 nucleotides in length. Their secondary structure includes four short double-helical elements and three loops (D, anti-codon, and T loops).
Source: RNAcentral